GCAUCGGUGGUUCAGCGGUAGAAUGCUCGCCUGCCACGCGGGCGGCCUGGGUUCGAUUCCCGGCCGAUGCA
RNAcentral lists this transfer RNA (71 nucleotides) under Cordylochernes scorpioides. RNAcentral describes it as "tRNA-Gly". It matches the Rfam family "tRNA". Rfam says of the family: Transfer RNA (tRNA) molecules are approximately 80 nucleotides in length. Their secondary structure includes four short double-helical elements and three loops (D, anti-codon, and T loops). Lineage: Eukaryota; Metazoa; Arthropoda; Arachnida; Pseudoscorpiones; Chernetidae. The record is from RNAcentral.